Molecule: ribosomal RNA, 662 nt
Filed under: uncultured Lachnospiraceae bacterium
Lineage: Bacteria; Bacillati; Bacillota; Clostridia; Lachnospirales; Lachnospiraceae
Description: bacterial SSU rRNA
Rfam family: Bacterial small subunit ribosomal RNA
Source: RNAcentral
AGUCGAACGAGCAAAGAGGAGCUUGCUUCUCUGAGCGAGUGGCGAACGGGUGAGUAACGCGUGAGGAACCUGCCUCAAAGAGGGGGACAACAGUUGGAAACGACUGCUAAUACCGCAUAAGCCCACAGGUCGGCAUCGACCAGAGGGAAAAGGAGCAAUCCGCUUUGAGAUGGCCUCGCGUCCGAUUAGCUAGUUGGUGAGGUAACGGCCCACCAAGGCGACGAUCGGUAGCCGGACUGAGAGGUUGAACGGCCACAUUGGGACUGAGACACGGCCCAGACUCCUACGGGAGGCAGCAGUGGGGAAUAUUGCACAAUGGGGGAAACCCUGAUGCAGCGACGCCGCGUGGAGGAAGAAGGUCUUCGGAUUGUAAACUCCUGUUGUUGAGGAAGAUAAUGACGGUACUCAACAAGGAAGUGACGGCUAACUACGUGCCAGCAGCCGCGGUAAAACGUAGGUCACAAGCGUUGUCCGGAAUUACUGGGUGUAAAGGGAGCGCAGGCGGGAAGACAAGUUGGAAGUGAAAUCCAUGGGCUCAACCCAUGAACUGCUUUCAAAACUGUUUUUCUUGAGUAGUGCAGAGGUAGGCGGAAUUCCCGGUGUAGCGGUGGAAUGCGUAGAUAUCGGGAGGAACACCAGUGGCGAAGGCGGCCUACUGGGCA